Non-coding RNA from Coturnix japonica (Japanese quail), 10145 nucleotides. Lineage: Eukaryota; Metazoa; Chordata; Aves; Galliformes; Phasianidae. The record is from RefSeq and is a predicted model, not a curated record.
CAUUAAGGAGUGAUCAGCGAAAGAGUUGUGCCGCUCUCAAUGCUCCUCAGUCCCUUUGUGCCAUGGGCGCAGCUGCACGGCACAGGUUUGCAGGCGCCCAUGGGAACCGUGGCUGGGGGCAGCCCCACAGCAGGGGUUCAGCAGGGCGGGGGCUGCAUCGCUGCUGGGGAUGCAUUUUCCUACCCAAAUUCCCCUCGCUGCUGUGAUAAAGCUAUUGCUGGUUGUCAUUGUGCCUUGGCACCACUCACCCACGGGCAGCCAGAUUGCUGCCAGCUCUGGUUUGGGCGAGUUCAGGAUGAGGAGCUGUGAUGGGAUGAGGGGAAAUGGUUUCAGAGUAAAAGAGGGCAGAUUAAGCUUGUGUAUAAGGAAAACGUUGUUUGUGCUAAGGGUGGUGAGGAAUGGCACACGGUGCCCAAAGAGGUGGAGGUGCCCCAUCCCUGCAGACACCCGUGGACAGGCUGGAUGGGGCUGUGAGCACUGAUGGAGCUGUGGGUGUCCCUGCUCAGUGCAGAGAGACCAGACAGCCUUUAGAGAUCCCUUCCAACUCAAAUCAUUCUGUGAUUCCAUCAUUUUAUGACUCUGUCCCAGCUGUGCACACCUAUGGGCACCGGGCUCUGGGCAAUGGGCACCAGUUGGCCCCCACUAAGGACCCAUUAAGGAGUGGGACACAAAGGAAUGGCUCGAGCAGGCUAAUCAAAUGAAGUGCCAGCAAAAAACUGAGGCUUGGUAUUUCCUGUGCCUCCUCAGCACUGUUAAUCGUCAGGGCUUUUUGUUUCCAGGCUUAAAAAGCUGUCAUUUUAAUAGGCUAUUCUCUUGGCAUUUUUUUUCCUUGCACAUUUGUCAAUAAUCCUCAAACAGCGGAAGCUUUGUUAUCCCAACUAAUUGGAGUCAAGUAGGGCUCUGAUAAAAGAUUUUUCACGACUGAGCCCUGGGAAAAAUGCAAAAGGAUUUUAAUUUUCAAUAACAUAUGCAGAUAAGUAGAAAUUAGCAGUGGGGAAGGGGUCUGGAGGCCGCUUGAAUAAUGGCGCUGCUCAGACAGUCACAGCUCAAGGGAUUAAUGAGGAUGUCAGUAGGUUGCUUGCAUUGCUGCAGGGCUGGAGGUGCCAGGGGGGGGUCAGCACUGGACCCCGCUGUGAUGGCAGCACCCCUGGGUCUUCCUGCCCACUGCCACCACCUUCUGAGGGAAAUGGAUGGGGCUGUUUAGUUUUUAAGCAGUAUCUUCACAGGGCCACCAAUCUGGCAGGUUGCAUCAAGCUGCAUCGGGGACAGACAUAUUUCAGGUUGUGCUUUGUCAUUUUCAUAUAUAAAUGAGGGAAAUUUGUGUCUCUCUUAAUCAUCACAGUGCAGCUCCUAUCAAUUGUGUGCACAGGCAGAUGACUUGGCCCCACACUUUACUAUCCCAGCACCCACAGGUAUGGGCUGGGAUGUACUGGGCAAAGCCAGGGCCUCCUGGAAGCAUCCCCCUCCUACUUUUCCAGCAGCUCUUCCCAGCACUUUUCUGGACCAUUGCUCUGCACAGGGAAGGAGGCAGCCCUCAGCUGGGCUCAGAUGGGCUCCCAGGGUAGAAAGGAGCCAACAGCCCCACGGAGUCGUGGGGAGUAGCCCCCCCCUGGAGCCAGCAGCGUGAGCGGGGGCUGAUGGAGAGCCCGAGGGAAGCACAGCUGAGCCGUCACCUGUUGGAGCUCAGACGGCCACAGCUGCGCCUGAGGCUUUGAACACUCUGGAUUAGGCAGACGAGCGCCCCGCACGCACUUGUGCUCUGCAUGCCAAUGCCUUCCUCCUCCUCCUCCUCCUCCUUUAGCCUCCCUCCUCCUUUAGCCUCCCUCCUCCCAGCCCACUGCUGGAGCUGCAUGUAUGGCACAGGGUCUCAAACUGGCCAAGAGCACUGGAGGCAUCUGCGAUAAAGAUAAGUUGAUAAAACACUCGGUGCUUGAGGAGCUUCCUUUUUGCUUUUGGCCCCAACAUGAGCAAAAUGCGGGGUCUCCAGGAGGUGCCUCAGCUCACCCAUAUGUUUCAUCACCACCUGAGCUGCAAAGUGCUGCUCGGAAGUCAGGAUGUGCCAUUGGCCAUUCCAAGAGGAGUGGGAUCACUCUGGCUCUGGGUUGUUGGAUUUUUGCCUUUUCAAAGCUUUCCUCCCGGUGCCAUACUUCUAAAAUCACCCCGUCUUGCUAUCUGCUCCCUGUGCUCGUGCUUUGGGUCUGUUUAAAAGCAGGGCUGUAACAUUAAUGAGAUUUAUGGCCGACUCUGGAGUGGAAGGGCAGAGGGCCGGCUGUUUUUUUCCUUUUCUUUCCAGGUGAAAGAAAACCUCGAAUGUUAACUCACGAGACAUUACAACGACUGCUCCUUCAAUCCUUGAUUUACGAGCUCAAAUUUAUGAGUUAAAAAUUAUUAUUCCACUCGCAUAUAUUUUUUCCCCUGGUCGUUUUAGUGCUUGUGAAAGGUGAGGGUUUUGACAGCUCCUGGAAACAAAAGCCUUUAAUAUCUCCCUGAGCGAGGCUCUCCCAGGCCAGGAGAGAUCUGCCAGCAGCUUUUCCUCGCUGCCACAGAUAUUGCUCGCUCCAUCCUCAGCUUAUCCAAACAGAGCGGGACUUGAGCAGGAGAUAAGGAAGGGCUGAUGAGCAGCGUCUGUCCUUCGUGCCUCCGGGAUCCUCCUUCACAUCCGGAGACAGGCUGGAGACAGCAGCUGCCAUGAGGAUGCCCAACACAGCUUUGUUUUGGGUCUUUUACUUAUUUUUCCAGGCUUUUUAGCAGGGGAUAUAUGGGAGCCCUGCUUCUGUUGCUUGCAGCAAAUAGGUAAUAUUGGGUGUAGAGCUGAAUUUGUAUUAAGUUGUGUAUUUCCUGAGCACCAUGAGCAUUACACUGAAGUGAGCAGUGCCUGCUCUCCCUCCUCCUCCAAGGCAGCUCCAGGUCUUCCUGGUCCCAUUGGAACAAUUUAUUCUCCAAAAGAGCAGUUGGGCACUGUCACUGCUGCCCUGGGCUCACCAUCCAUGUUGGUGUUCCAGAACCGUGGCAAUGUGGCACCCAGGGAUGUGGUCAGUGGGCAUGGUUGGAUCUGAGAGGGCUUGGGGAUCAGAGAAGGCUUUUCCAUCCUGAAUGACUCUAAUUCUGUGAUGGAGGACCCACCCCAUGUACCAGCGGCUCAGGCUGAACCAAGCUGGCAGCAGCCUUUAAAAGGUGACAUCCAAGAAAUGCCAAGGAGUAAAUAUAUCCUCUUUUAAGCAUGUGUCACACAGUGUCUUAAAGAGCCUAGGGAUUAAAACCUUUAUGGAGCUCAGGAAACAGAGCCAGAGCCCCUGCUGCAUUUCAUUAGAGUACAUUUUUGACACAGCUUGCCUCAUUCAAUAAUGAUUUAGUUGAUCAAAAACUGAAUCCAAAAGGACAAGCAGCACUGUGGCAUUUUGUUGCAUUUUCAUUUUCAGCAUUUUUUCAUGUUCUUUUGCUGUCUGCUGCUCCAGCAAUGGAAAAGUGGUGGUGGUGGUGGUGGUGGUGUGCUGAAGGGAAAGUAGAGGCCCCAAAAAGCAGCUGGGAGUGAUGGGGUACAUCCCAGCCUUCCUGACUGCUGUCCCCAUCUCACCAUGCUGCAAAAGAUACUACUAGAUUUACUGGUCAGGAAAACAAAAUGUUGGGGUUUGGGCUGUUGGAAUGCCAAAGCAGAAAGGCUGUGUUUGAGCCACUUGAGUUUGAGAGUGGGAUAUUUGGGAGUGGGAUGUUUGAGCUUUGCAUGGACAGUCUGCAGGCACUUCUCCAUGUGAGUCCUUAUGGGGUCGAUCUGCCCUGGGGUGCAUUUUUGUCCCAUUCUGUGCUCAUGGAUAGACCGGGUGUCCCACUUGUUUCAUCUUGCUUCCUUCAGGGGCACAAAGAGUUUGAGGCAGAACAAGUGCUGCUGGGUGUCCAGCUUCACGCAUCCCUAUCCAUGCCUGUCCCCUCCUGACCUCCCAUAGAGCACACAGAGGGAUUCCAGGGAUCCAGCGUUCUCUAUCCACACACCACAUUCAUCAUUUGAACCUUUCUUGCCUGUGGGAUUCCUGGUGCUGGAUGAGCUGGGGCUCAGGGCCGGGUGAUGUGAAGCUGUGAGUGAUUCUGCUGAGGUCAGGUGUGGGCAGGAGGGCUCUGUGCUGGCUAUGCAGUCAGGUCCAAGCCAGGCUCAACACGUGCAUCAUCCCCAGGAGCAGGCAGCCAGCGUUCCCACCGCGCGUGUCACAGUUCCCAGGAUAACCAAGGCAUCCAUACAAACAAAACACAGAAACCCUCCGUCUCUCUGGAGACAAGUCACAAACAGAGAGCCAGGCCAAGCCCAUUGAUGGAGCUGCACGCAGUGAAUCACCCACCCAGCUGCAGCCGAAACAAUUUGGGUCAAACAUGCACUCUGGCAGAGCUCCACUGCCUUAUCUUCUGCUUUGCUUGCUUGCUGCACCUCAGCUCAAGGUUUGCUUUGCAGUGCUUUCAGCUGGCUGCAGAGUGCUUGGUGCUGAGGGUGGGCACUGCUUGAUCUGUUACCUGCUUGGAUGCUUUUAUUCCUGUUAAUGAUGAUGGCAUUUUCCUUCCUGGCCAUCAUUCCCUGCAGCUGAGCACAGAGGAUAGAGACAUUCACAGGGAGCUGCACUGAGCUCUGCCUGUUCCCAGGGGCACUGAACAACACUCAGACCCCCAGCAGUUGUAGAGGGGGACUGGGACCUUCCCAGUGUGGGGCUGGGGUUGUGCCCACCUCCAUGCUGGGCUGCAGCAAGCUCCAGACACAGCUCCUGCUCCAUGAGUGUGGGCCCAGGGGACCUUCCUCCAAGAUUACAUCAGUAGCAUGAGGAUGCUGAGUGUACUGUCUGGGAAUCUCGAAGAUGAGGGCUGUUUUGUUGUGUUUUUCUUUUUUCUUUGAGAUUAUGUAUAUGAUAAAAUAUGUUCUUGUGACUCUCUCUCUUUCGGGCUGCUUGCAGAUGGGAUGUGCUGCAAUAGGAACGCUGUGUGGUUUGCUCUUACCUGGGGUGGUUUUGUUUGGUGGGACAGGAGCAGGGCUGGGCUCGAGGCCUCUGCCCAGUUGGGUUCCAAUGGAACAAAUGGAAACCACAAGGAGGGAUGAGCACAGUGCUGCCCUCUCUGCUGAUGGGGUCAUGCCAUCAUGGGACUGUAUGAAAGAUUUCAUUAGAUAUGAAAUGCAGCUUUGUAUAACAAGAGAACGUGGUGUUUCCAGCUUCUAAGCAGGGGGUUUUACCCCAUGAGAGAAAAUGAGGUGGGAGAAGGUGAAUUAUUAGGAUAAACUGCUUCUCCCAAAGAGCAUUCAGGCACUGACACUGCUGCACCAGGGGGGUGGAGAAGCUUACUGUCCUUGUGUAUGGGAACUGUUGAGUCAUGGCCUGAACCACUGAUUGAGCACCUGGGGAAAGGACCCGAUCAGCCCUGAGAGCACAGGUGAAGGCAAUUAAGUUCUGUGACCAGAUUGGGUGGAUUCUGGCUGCACCUGUCUUACACCUCAUUUAAAGGCUGAUUGCCACUGGGGAAGGGUUUCUUUCUGGAGAUGCCUCCCUGGUGAAGCUUUCCCCUGUGAACCUGUAAUCUUUGUAUAUGGAUCUCCAUUGAUGGAAGGUCUCAGCCUAAAACUGAAGGAAAAUCACACCUGAAACAGAAACCCAGAGCAAGACGUACAGCCCUGCUGCACACAGGAAAGCUCUGAGCAUCACCAGCCUAAGAGAUGCCUUGGCUGCAUUUACACUUAGCACAAAGCUACAUGCAUGGGAGAUGCCCCCACCUUUCAGGAUGAGAGGUGCUGCAGAUUCUCAGGAUGUUUUGGGGUGCUGCAGUGGGACGGGAGCUGCAGAGCCAGCACGAGGUUCUAUGGGGUGGUGCUGUGAUGUGGGGGGAAGCUGUCUGUGCAUGAGGAGCCUCAGGUGGGACUGCAAAAUUGAGGCAGAGGUUUGGCUGUUGCACGCAGCACUUCUUAUGCAGUCAUGCUGCAGCUUAGCAAAAGGAACUUCUAUUAAUUUUAUGAUCAAUUUAGUUCUGCUUGUUGCUUCAGGAGAGUCGUGCCCUGCGCUGCUGCUCACGGCGGGCAGCACUGCCCUCUAGUGCGGCUGGGUCUGUCGGCUGGAUGCUGGGAUUGGGGGCUUUUUUAAUGUUUCUGGUUUCUUUCCUUGUGUGGGGGGGUUUGUUUUCUGUUUUAUUUUUCUUUUGGUUGCUUUUGGGUUUUAUUUUUUAGGUUUUUGGGUGUUUUGUUGUUUGUUUUUUUAAUGGAAAAGAGUCCAUCCCAUAAGGGCUGAGGGAACUGGGGUUUUCAGAUGUGGAAAGGAAGGCUCAAGGAGAACUUGAUUGUGGCCUAUCAGGAGCUUGUAAAUGAGAUGAAGAGCAAAAUUUUACAUGGGCAGACAGAGAUAGGACAAGGGAGAAUGAAUCAUAGAACAAUUUAGAUUGGAAAAUAUCACUAAGUGCAUCAAGUCCAAACAUUAACCUAUCCCCACCACAUCCCUAGGCAGGAGGAGGUAGCUGGGGAGUCAGCAAAGGAUGAUUAGAGACCCUCUUCUUUCUUCCAGCCAAGUAUAUCUGUGCUCGCAACUUCCUUAGAGGAAGGAAUCACAGAAUGGUUUGAGAUGGAAAGGACUUCUAAAGGCCAUCAGGUCCAACUCCCUGCACUGAGCAGGGACACCCACAGCUCCAUCAGUGCUCAAAGCCCCAUCCAGCCUGACUGUGGGUGUCUUCGGGGAUGGGGUACUGCCACCUCUCUGGGCACCCUGUGCCAUUCCUCACCACUGUUAGCAUAAGCCAUUUCCUCCUUAUAUACAAUCUAGGAUGUGACAGUGAGGCUGCAAGUGUACCAAAGCCUAUGGAGUCAUUGGACACAUCCCAAACCACUCCUCUUGGCACUGUGCUGCUGGGUGCUGGGGCACUGCCCUUGCCCUAAAGCUCUGCAAACCUCUCACUGUUGCUGAGGCUGUGUUUCAGUGAGCUGUGAGUGCUUCUAGACCAUGGCAUUUAAUUACACUGCAGAACAGCAUCACCUGCCUGGCUUCUCUAGUUCAAAACCUGAGAGGGGUGUGUUCACCCAUCCAGCACUACCCAACCUGGGCCAUGUUCUCCAAAUAUCUCUACUGCUUUCUGCAUGGUUUUCUCAAGAACCAAAACCAAACAAGAUGAGAAGUCUGCUGAGAAGUCUGUGCAUUCUGCACAUGGGAAAAGCAUAGCAAUGGGGCUCCAAGGACAGCACCACUGGGGACAGCCAGCAUGAAGUGCUCAGCAUCCCUCUGCUCCUCUCUCUGGCAGUCUCUGAGGAGUUCAGAUGCAGAUGUUCGGUAACACCAGGACACGUGGAGUGUUGCUCACGUUCAUGGCUCUUGGCGCUGCUCAGCCACGCACACAGUUAUUUUCCUUGGCCCCGACAGAGAAAUGAGCUCCUCAAGGACUUUUCAUUAAGCAAAAAUUUAUGAGGGAGAAUGAAAAUUAUGUUUUACUGUCUGAGGUCUGAGCCGAUGCUGUUCCUUCAGACGUUUUCAUAACGCAGCUUGGCAAGAGGCUGGAGAACAUCUCCAGUGGAACAGGAAUUUCAUGGGGAUGUUGGGAGCUGCCUGUGUCAGCCACUCAGUCCCCAUCUGGGCACUGCCCCCAUCAAGGUCUGUUCCCUGCCCCCUAAAGCCGCAACAAGAGCAAAAGACCCCAUGAAAAAUAAUGUGAGUGUGAUGUAAAGCGUCACUGGGAUUUGAUGCUAAUUUUAGUGGUCACCUUGGCUGCGUUUGAGGAAGUCGCCGGUGCUGCCAAGAGUGAAUUUACCUGAUGAUGAAUGAGGAAUCGGAGCAUAAAAUAAAUAUCAGCAACACCUUUUUUUUGUGUGUGUGUGCUUUUUUGGCAGGUCGGUGUCAUCCAAGGUCAAACAUUUGUGCUUUAGGAGAACUACUGCCAGAGCUCAGAGCUCUAAAAUCCUUUCUAAGUGAAGAGCAGCGACUGUGAGGGCUCGACUUAAAGAAGAAAGACUGAAGUGCAGCCUCCCAGAAACUCUUGCCAUUGGUUGGAUUUUCACAUAGGUGUUAAUCUUCCUUCUUUAUACUCUUUCUCAGGCUUGGAAACAGCGUGCUGAGAAGAAUUCCAUGCUUUCCUCCUGGAGAUGCAGCAGGAUGGAGGAGCUGUGAUCCUUUAAGUGAGGUUAGACCGCAAUCUGUGAGCUGGGGGACAUAGAGUGUUCUGGGGGAACCUUCUUCUCUUGUUCAUGGUAAAUCUUUCUGAAGAGUUGACUUUCUAUGCUCUAAAACAGAAGAAAAAUUGGGAUAUAUUUUCUUCAACAAAUGGUAGCGAGCAGGAAUGGCAUCCCCAGCUCACAGCUGCCCAGUGCUGCAGUCUCCUGCACGUUCCUCCAAAACACCCUUCUGCUGUCUGAAGAUGGAUCCUGGGGACAUACAGCUCUCCCAGUAGUUUUAUGACUUCUUUUAACUGCUUUGUCUUCCCAAGGCAAACUGGGAGGGAGCUGAGAACCGCAGAAGAAGGGUGCCCUUUCUUGCAUCCAUCCAGCAAAGCUGGGCAUUGAUCCCCAUCCUGUUGCUUUGGGCUAUGAGGUAAUGUACUGCCUCGGGGACCCACUGGCAUUUACCCAGAAAAAGAUGCAGUGUGCCAUGGAACAGCACUGCAGAUGGAUCCAAGACCCUCCAUCACUGGGAGUGCGCAGAAAUAUCACAGCCAGAAGGAGGAAUGUCAUUGCCAGGAUGCACAGCUUAGAAGAAGGGAUGCCCCUGCCCAUCUCAUGGGCAUUUGGCUGGGAUCUGGCACUUUUGGAUCUGAGUGCUGCUGGGACGUGAACAAUCUGCAAAGCAAUCAGAAAGUAAAGCCUUGCCUUGGAGAGAAGUGUUAAACCAGGACAGCUCACCCAUGUAGGGAGUGAUGGCACAGGGACAGCCUGGAGGAGGGCAAGGCUGGAUGGAGGCUUUGGUGAACCAACAGCAGAAGUGGCCGUGCAUCCUCCCACCUGCACAGUGCAGCCAUUCCCUGUCUGACCCAGGCUGUAGUCUCCAGAUCUCUGUAGACACAUCGGCACCAGACCCUUAGCAGGGAUGGCUCACACAAAGCCCCCCUUUUCCCUUGGACUCCAUCUCCAAAAGAUGAGUGUCCCUGGAGGGAUUUGCUGUGCCCUAUGAAAUCACAGUGACUCCAGGUCUGCUGGAUCAAAAGAAAGGAGUGGGAGAGGUGCGAGCAUCUUUCCAUGACACAUUUCCACCCACCACCUUUCUCAAAGAACCAGUUUGCUGCUCCCAAGUCUCAUCCCAAUAGCCAGGUUUGUCUCUAAACCCAAUGGGUUUCCUUGAGUUUGAGUCCAUCUACCGAUCCCUUCUGGAUGUUAGAACUGCUUCGUCCAGCCAAACUUCCCUGUUAAUUGUCCUCAGGAUUGGUUUGGAAAAUUGCAUAAGCCCUGGGUUAGGGCUGGCUGCAUCUCCCAUCCCAGUGCCUGAGGCUUCGUGGGGCAAGGACUAAAGAGCUGUGAAACACAGAGAUAUAACAGAUGUUGACAUGUAGUGAAAAUACGAGACGCAGGAGCCUAAGAUAAUAAAUCUGAAAAAUUAACACGUAGGAGAACGAAAAAAGGAGCAAUAUGUUUUGGUAAUCAUUCUGAACUGCUGAACCCUUCUCCUGCAGUUCAAAAAUCUCUGGUAUUAAGCAGAUGUCAUUCAACUGAUGAUUAACACAUUACCAAAUUUCUCCAGUCGUUUAAUAAAAGUUUUUACAUAACAUGCAGGUAAUUGCUUCCAAAUGUCAAGGUAACAAUGUGGGCUUCUAUGGAUGGCAUUGUUUCCAGCAUCAGGUGAAACCCCUCUAUCAGGCGAAGUCCCGCACUGCCCAGCUGCUUUUCCUGUCACUGCUAUUGCAGAGACAAAGGAAUAGUCGGGGAAGAUUAGAAGCCUUGGAUCUGGUAAUGUUCUCCUCCCUUCAUGUAGCCAUGUAUGCGAACAGCAGGCCUUGUGCUCUGAAAAUGGGGCGUGGGGUUAUGCCUUUUUGGUUUUUAUCCCCUUUUCUUACUAGAUCUUGCUGCUGCUGGAUGCAAUAGGUGGUGGAUGCAAGCAGGGUGAAUGCGAGCUACAGGCAGCAGGGAUGACCCAUUGAUCCCAAUGCUGCAGGAGCUCCCUCCCUAUCCCAGAGCUCCCCCCAAACUCAAAACCUGAACUUCCCCUCCAUGGGAGCAGGGAGAA